GUGGAUGUGCCUAGAGUGGUUAUCGGGCAUGACUAGAAAUCAUGUGGGUUCUACCUGCGCAGGUUCGAAUCCUGCCAUUCACG
This 83-nucleotide transfer RNA is filed under the name Sphenostylis stenocarpa. Its description in RNAcentral is "tRNA gene-AYBTSS11_LOCUS24140". It matches the Rfam family "tRNA". Rfam says of the family: Transfer RNA (tRNA) molecules are approximately 80 nucleotides in length. Their secondary structure includes four short double-helical elements and three loops (D, anti-codon, and T loops). Further hydrogen bonds mediate the characteristic L-shaped molecular structure. tRNAs have two regions of fundamental functional importance: the anti-codon, which is responsible for specific mRNA codon recognition, and the 3' end, to which the tRNAs corresponding amino acid is attached (by aminoacyl-tRNA synthetases). tRNAs cope with the degeneracy of the genetic code in two manners: having more than one tRNA (with a specific anti-codon) for a particular amino acid; and 'wobble' base-pairing, i.e. permitting non-standard base-pairing at the 3rd anti-codon position. The record is from RNAcentral. Lineage: Eukaryota; Viridiplantae; Streptophyta; Magnoliopsida; Fabales; Fabaceae.